RNAcentral lists this small RNA (16 nucleotides) under Arabidopsis thaliana (thale cress). Its description in RNAcentral is "ATSL244280". The record is from RNAcentral. Lineage: Eukaryota; Viridiplantae; Streptophyta; Magnoliopsida; Brassicales; Brassicaceae.
AAAAAGAUUGAAGAAA